This 329-nucleotide unclassified non-coding RNA is filed under the name soil metagenome. Its description in RNAcentral is "partial contains 5.8S ribosomal RNA, internal transcribed spacer 2, and large subunit ribosomal RNA". The stretch from base 1 to 120 matches the Rfam family "5.8S ribosomal RNA", at positions 35 to 154 of the family's 154-position model. The record is from RNAcentral.
GAUGAAGAACGUAGCGAAAUGCGAUAAGUAAUGUGAGUUGCAGAAUUCAGUGAAUCAUCGAAUCUUUGAACGCACAUUGCGCCCCUUGGUAUUCCGAGGGGCAUGCCUGUUCGAGCGUCAUUAUAACCCCUCAAGCUCAGCUUGGUGUUGGGGCCUGCUGCACUGGCAGCCCUUAAAAUCAGUGGCGGCGCCAUCUGGCUCUAAGCGUAGUAAUUCUUCUCGCUAUGGAGUCCUGGUGGAUGCUUGCCAUCAACCCCCAAUUUUUCUAUGGUUGACCUCGGAUCAGGUAGGGAUACCCGCUGAACUUAAGCAUAUCAAUAAGCGGAGGA